Cucumis melo (muskmelon) is the source of this 5328-nucleotide long non-coding RNA. RefSeq lists it as uncharacterized. NCBI's taxonomy places the organism in Eukaryota, Viridiplantae, Streptophyta, Magnoliopsida, Cucurbitales, Cucurbitaceae. The record is from RefSeq and is a predicted model, not a curated record. The transcript has 2 exons.
UGCUAUGCUAGUUGUAGCGCUCCCGCGCUUGACUAAUAGUUUCUCAAGUCAAGGGGACUUUAUCAUGAUCUUACGAAUCUACAACUCUCUUUACUGAGCGAGACUCUACCCAGAUCUCAAGAAUUUGCCAAAGAGCCUUCUUCUAACUAGUUAGAAUUGAGAAUUGAUCCUUUUCCUUCGACUUAGGUGGAGCAAUCCCCGAACUCUCGACAGAAUAGAAAAGAGGUUUUGAUUCCUGUGUAGACACCUCAACGAACUCAUGUGGACACUCCUUAGCCCGAGGACAUCAAAUACGAUAUACUUAGUUGUCAGAUCUUCCUUUUUCUUUUCUUUACUGAUUCCUCUCAAUGAAAUUUGCCAUGUUGCACUAAGUUACUUACGGAUGUAUGCAUGUGGUCCGGGAACACUUUGGGGUGAACACCCAUCCGAACAAGUAGGGUCAAUAGUUUAGCAUUUAGGCCGUAACAUUUAGCAAGAAAGAAAGAUUGAACCCAACAAGUGCUCUCCGAACCAAGCUAGAUAGUUUCCUAUCACUAGGCUCACCAACCAACCUGGACUUUUCUUUCUCUUAUUCCUACCGGUCCGGAGGACAGAAGUUUGAGUGGUCCUACGUCCGUCCUCAGGCAUUGAAUGAGUGGAAUGAAAAGCUCAAAUUCUUCGAUCAUUCUUUGACUUUAUUCGCAAAUUCUUUGCGCCUCACUCUCCUUUCAGUCGAGACCUCUGGAACUCGUCCGGAGUCCUUGAAAUCUUCUUUGAACCCGUCCGUAGGACUUGUUUAUAUCCAUAUUAGCUUGAAUUCAGCCUUUGUUUAAAUUAAACCAGUGAGGACUAGUUUAAUUAGCCUGUGGAAUUCUUUCGUUGCACUCCCGUAGUUAGGGGCAAAGAAUUUGCGAAGGACUCCUUUUCUCUGAUUUUCUUAGAUAAAUGCCUUUCGCUUCGCGCCGGAGGACCCGUCCGACCGCCCCGUGGGAAUAUGUAGGAUGAAAGGACCCAGAGAUGCGGAUGACUCAAACUUCUUCUUCUUCUGAACUUAUGGGAUUCUUUCCAGCCUUCCUAUAUGACAUAAGCGCUCUUGGGGCCGGCCAUUCCAUCUUUUCUUUGAGAAGGUCGUAUUUGAUGGUCGGCGUGGCGAUAGGCUGAGCUUCGUAGACUGCCUCCCCAGCCCUUGCAAAGACUGAGCGAGAACGGUCAGGGGCGCACAAAGAAUGUCGUUGCGCGGGGAUGCGAUUCGCCAAGCUGGGGCAAAGAAAGCCGUCCGGCCCCCCACCGGAUUAGGAAUGCGAAGGCCUUUCGAAGGAGAAAGGAGACCCGGGAAAGAAAGAGCUAUGCUAUUGACCGACCCUUCUUAUCGCUCCGGGUUCCGAUCUAUAUGACCUCCGGGCGGUACAAAGUCAACCUCUGUAGUAGAGGCAGGCAGGUAGUAAGCUAACCUUUCUGAGUCUCUUCAAGGUGGUAGUUAUACCACCUCUGACAAUGGAAAGAUCUCCGUGCGUGAUAAGGAAUCCUAGAAAAGAUCGAUUGAGACUCCCUCCCCGGUCCCACGAAGAUCUCUACGUACUUGUCCAGUCCAGGACAAGAUCUUCCGGUCUGCGUGCGUGGGAGCAGCUCAAAGAAAGAAGAGUCUGGUCUGAAUUCUGGCCCGGCCUGCCCGUCUGCUGCUAGGUCCGGGAAUGGCGCCAGGCGAGGGCGUCAACUCAUCUGGAGUAGCUUACUCUGCUGCGACCUGAAUUUGAUUCGGCCGGCAUAGAUCUCAUGAGACCGGCCCACUAUUACGACGAAAAAAGCCCUGCCCUUUUCCUUCGCUACUAGGAGAGUCCGCUACUUCUAUUAGCGCCGGACCUUGAGUCGAAUUUCUCGUGUGUCAUGUGCAACGUCCAUCAAUGAUGGUGAAUUAAUGUCCAUUGAUUUAGACUCCUUCCCCCUUCCUAACUACGAAUAAGAGAGAGAGGAGCCCGAACCAAAGCAAGAACGAAAACGGAUGAGAUUCACUCCCCAUUCUCUCUUAAAUAAAGCUCGCCCUCUAUAAGUACCAACCAGAAAGAAGAAAGCCUACUCAAAGUAUAUGGAAUAAAUCAGUCCGACUAUCGAUACCUCCUCUUGUUCUCUUCCCGCCACGAGAAAGACGCUGAAAAAUGAAGAGCGCGCGGAGGCUCAAAGAAAACAAAGGUCCUCAAUGAGAGACUCCGUAGGCUAAAAAAGCAGAGGAGGCUCGACUGAAAGGAGUCCAAGAUUCAAGCUGAAUCAAUGAACAAAGGUUGAGAAGCGACUGGAAAGGAGCAAAGAAUUUGCGAAGGCGCGAAGCGAAGCGACUGUGAAGGAGCGAAGGAGCGAAAGCGGCUCGACUGAGGUUAGGAAGGAGAGGAGCGAAGGUUUGUUUGGAGGUUCGAAGAAAGUCGACUGAUAAGGAGUCAAUGAACAAGGGCAGCUCGACUGAUAAGGAGAGGAGCCCGACGAUUAUUAUUCAAUCCAUAUGAAAAAAUUAGGAUAUAAAGGUUAGGACUCUGAAAGCGAAGGACUCCUUUUCUCUGAUUUUCUUAGAGAAAUGCGCUUCUCAAAUUGCAAUUAUAAGGCGCAAAGAAUUUGCGAAGGAUCAAAGAAUGAUCGAAGAAUGAGAGAAGCGACUGGAAAGGUGCGAAGCAGCUCGACUAAGAAGGAGAGGCGCAAAGAAUUUGUGGAGAGGAGUUGCGAAAGGCUUGAAAUUCCACUCCGGUCUGAAGAAAGACGUAGAAGCAAAAACAAAGGGUCAAAGCCCAAGGUUAAUAUGGAUAGUCCUUCGGACAGGGUCAUAUUCAUCUGCCCUUAUUAAUGAGACCGGCUGGGUCCCCCUAUCUUUAUGUGAUCUCGACUGAUAUAACUAGGUCUCGCUCCUUCUCCCCUCUCGCUUUAGCUCUCGCAUAUUUUCUCGAGACAUUAAUCGACGAUUGAUAGAUAGCCUGAUCUGUUCUGAUUCCCAAUUGGGAAAGCCAAGAGAAAGAUGAGAUUCUUCGUAGAGCUGGUGCUGCUCUUGCCUGCGCGUAGGGCCGUCCCCCACUCCCGUCCCGGGGCGCUAAGGGGCUUUUGUUUUUGGAACAGACGGCAUUGCUGACGCCUCGAAUCAAGCUUUUGUUGCGACAUGCUAUGUUUUCUCCCCCAUUGCUAGUAGGUUGAUGGGUCGCACGCCCGGCACACAUGUUUUGGCCUUGUGUGUCCAUAACUCAAAAUAGGUGACCUAACGGCCGCCGCCCGACUAAACAUACCAAUAGUCACCAGAUUCAUAUGGGCUACUGAGGAGUAAGCAAUGAUCUUCUUAAGAUCGAUCUGUCUUGAAGUGGUCAAGGAAGUAUAUAUUAUAGCAAUCGCGCUUAGAGUAUAAAUGAAAGGAGUGGCACAAAGUGUCGCUUCGGGAAAGAUGGGUAUUGAAAAUCUUAAAAACCCGUGGGUUCCCAAUUUUAAAAGAAUUCCUGCCAAGAUGACGGAUCCUGCCGUAGGUGCCUCUACAUGAGCUUCGGGUAACCAAAUAUGAACUGGUACCAUAGGCACUUUGACGGCGAAAGAGGCGAAAGAAGCAAUCCAUAGAAAGAUUUGGCGCCGCUCACUAAAUUCUGUGGUUAAUGAGAUUUGUAAAUCGGUGGUUCCUGUUUGGAGAAGAAUCAACAGAAUAGCUAAUAGCAUCAAAACGGAUCCCAGUAAAGUAUAAAGGAAAAACUGAUAUGCUGCCUUGAUCUUUCUUUGUCUCGAACCCCAUACCCCUAUAAUAAUGGUAGAGUCAGGGGUGGCCCCAAAGCGGAAUUGACCGAUGGUAGUUGGUCGAAGCUCCAGUAGGUAGCCACUCCCUUCUCAGGGAACCGUACGUGAGACUUCCGCAUCAUACGGCUCCGUCCCGAGCUUCCUCGGCCCUUGUCAUUAGACCACUAUCUAUGCAUGUAUUUUCAGCCUGGACUCUCUCAUCUUUUGCUUCUCGGAUAGUGGCGAAGAAUGCUGCUUGCGUUGCGGGAGAUGCCUGCUUCUCGCCCGAAAGAACCGCUCACUAGCUAGCGGGCCCUAUCUGGAGACAGACUGAAACUCAAUCUAUACGAACUCUUCCAAAUCAAAAGACAAAAAAUGGGCUCGUUGGGAAGAGGAGUGCGGCCUGUAGAGCACAUGUCAGGCACAGUCGGGUUGCUCACGCAGCGGAUCUCGAUAGAUAGAUAGAUAUCUUUUGAUAGAGAGAGAUGUGAAAGUAAUAGCCUGAUUUUCUCCCCCGACUGACUUGCUACUACUACUGUGAUGUGAGCGGUUCAAAUUGCUUUUCUCUUUCCCAAUUAUCCUGGCCUCCACUUGUACGCAGCACUUGUACGGGGGUGCAUGCAUAAAGGUUUGGAACUAGAAUCUGAUCUGAAUCAGAUCUAUGGAAGUGCCUCAUUGAGGACCUUUUCGCAAAUUCUUUGCUCCUAGCGUCCCGUAGGAGGAGUCAGAAAUCCUCUCAUUGAGGACCUUUGUUUUGGAGGGGUCAAGACGAGCGAAAGCGGCUCGACUGUCAGGAGAGGCUGAAUGCAAUAUGAGUUAGGACCAAAGAAUUUGCUCUUGACUUGUUUAUUCUACCAUAUUAACCUGUCUCGAACUCUCUGCCGAGCUUCACCCAGCCCGCAUUUCCUUUUUCAGGGGGCCAAAGAAAUGUCUCCACCAGCUGCCAACAGUCUUUCUUCGGAAUGAUACUGAACGGGUCGAUCCUCCCCUCUCCCCUUUGUUUUAGCAACUUAUCCGUCGGUCUCCUCACCAAGAGCUCCCCGGCGACGAGAGAGGAAGCAGAAGCAACCCCUGUGGCGGGGCGGCUUUUUUCUUUCACAAUCAGAGACCUGGACGAUUAUCCCUACCCUCCGUAGCUUACGAGUUUACGUCCAUCCCUGGUCGGGUACAGUUUCCUUUCUCUUUCUCCCUUGUAGCCGUUACCCCGAAUUCGCGCAAGUGUGUCCACACCCCCCAAACAGACUUGACGAGGAAUCCAUUCUCGCGAACAAACACAACCCCUACACACACCUAGGAGCACCCCUUCCUGCAUAUUCAUACAAGACCCGAGUAGGCGGGUCGAGGUCUGACGAGGUACCCACUACUCUCCGUACCCUCCCAAAAGGAAAAAGAUGUGUCUGUCAGGUUCGGUUCUUCGAUCUUGGGUUGGGCGGGUUCGACCAGAAAUGCUAUGCUUACACACAAGACUACCCCUCUUCCCGAAAGCUUCGCGGGGACUACUUGACGACGACGGACGACCGCCCGUAGGGGGUUUACUGCACAAGGCCCCUGCAGAGGAAAAGCUUGAUCCCAGCGAAUAGAAGAUGCUCAGCUCCGCACAACAUAGGGAUUGGCACGCUUUCG